AUGUGCUACAUGAAUGAAAAUGGUAUUAGUGAGGAGGUUGCUUAUGAAUACACUCAGGGUUUGCUCAAUGAAACUUGCAAAAAAUUGAACAGAGAUAGAGUUGUUGAUUCACCUUUCCCUAAAACUUUUACUAAAACAACAAUAAACCUUGCUAAAACCGCUCACUAUGUUUAUCAAAAUGGAGAUGGGUAUGGAGUUCCAGAUUCCAUAACAAAGAAUCGAGUACGCUCUUUGAUAAUUGAACCCAUUUCCCUCAUUGAAAACCAUGCAUGA
Vicia faba (fava bean) is the source of this 273-nucleotide non-coding RNA. NCBI's taxonomy places the organism in Eukaryota, Viridiplantae, Streptophyta, Magnoliopsida, Fabales, Fabaceae. The record is from the annotation of a GenBank genome assembly.